Molecule: long non-coding RNA, 361 nt
Filed under: Heterocephalus glaber (naked mole-rat)
Lineage: Eukaryota; Metazoa; Chordata; Mammalia; Rodentia; Bathyergidae
Description: lncRNA (ENSHGLG00100045099.1)
Source: RNAcentral
GCAGACAGUGGAGAAAAGAAAAAUGAACAAGAUCCAGCACUGGCCCCUACAGAGCUCAAGGUCUGGAGGAGAGCCUGUCAUACCAACAGGCUGUGGUAACCCAGGAUGGUCAGACCAAGGUGGAGGGGAACACAGAAGUAGACCUGGAGAAGAGGCAAUAACUCAGUUAGGAAAUGGAGCAUGGAAAAGUGGACCAGAUUAUCCGAUCAGUGAAAUGAUAUUGGAAUUGCAAGAAUGGGGCUGGAAGAAGGACCCUGGAUAUUCGGGGGUGGGACCAUCUCAUGACUGAAAAUGUGGAGCAGAAUGUUGAUCCAAGGGUACCUCAAAGGUACAGAGAAGAAGGAAAAUGCUCUGAAGAUAG